Non-coding RNA from Triticum aestivum (bread wheat), 135 nucleotides. NCBI's taxonomy places the organism in Eukaryota, Viridiplantae, Streptophyta, Magnoliopsida, Poales, Poaceae. The record is from Rfam.
AUAAUACUCCCUCCGUCCAGAAAUACUUGUCAUCAAAAUGAAUAAAAGGGGAUGUAUCUAGAUGUAUUUUAGUUCUAGAUACAUCCCUUUUUGUCCAUUUUGAUGACAAGUAUUUUCGGACGGAGGGAGUAUGUA